AUUGAACGCUGGCGGCAUGCCUUACACAUGCAAGUCGAACGGUAACAGGUCUUCGGAUGCUGACGAGUGGCGAACGGGUGAGUAAUACAUCGGAACGUGCCCGAUCGUGGGGGAUAACGCAGCGAAAGCUGUGCUAAUACCGCAUACGAUCUACGGAUGAAGCGGGGGAUUGCAAGAACCCGCGCGGACGGAGCGGCCGAUGGCAGAUUAGGUAGUUGGUGGGAUAAAAGCUUACCAAGCCGACGAUCUGUAGCUGGUCUGAGAGGACGACCAGCCACACUGGGACUGAGACACGGCCCAGACUCCUACGGGAGGCAGCAGUGGGGAAUUUUGGACAAUGGGCGCAAGCCUGAUCCAGCCAUGCCGCGUGCAGGAUGAAGGCCUUCGGGUUGUAAACUGCUUUUGUACGGAACGAAAAAGCUCUCUCUAAUACAGGGGGUGAAUGACGGUACCGUAAGAAUAAGCACCGGCUAACUACGUG
This 481-nucleotide ribosomal RNA is filed under the name uncultured bacterium. RNAcentral describes it as "partial 16S ribosomal RNA". It matches the Rfam family "Bacterial small subunit ribosomal RNA", at positions 30 to 507 of the family's 1533-position model. The record is from RNAcentral.